RNAcentral lists this transfer RNA (71 nucleotides) under Eucryptorrhynchus scrobiculatus. RNAcentral describes it as "tRNA-Lys". Lineage: Eukaryota; Metazoa; Arthropoda; Insecta; Coleoptera; Curculionidae. The record is from RNAcentral.
CAUUAGAUGGCUGAAUGCAAGCAUUGGUCUCUUAAACCAUAUUAUAGUAACCUAGCAAUUACUUCUAAUGA